CCUACGGGAGGCAGCAGUAGGGAAUCUUCCACAAUGGUCUAAAUCCUUAUUUAUCAACUCCUCUUUUUUUAAGAAUUUCUUCGGAUCGUAAAACCCUGUUGUUAGAGAAGAAAGUGCGUGAGAGUAACUGUUCACGUUUCGACGGUAUCUAACCAGAAAGCCACGGCUAACUACGUGCCAGCAGCCGCGGUAAUACGUAGGUGGCAAGCGUUAUCCGGAUUUAUUGGGCGUAAAGGGAACGCAGGCGGUCUUUUAAGUCUGAUGUGAAAGCCUUCGGCUUAACCGGAGUAGUGCAUUG
This 298-nucleotide ribosomal RNA is filed under the name uncultured bacterium. RNAcentral describes it as "partial 16S ribosomal RNA". It matches the Rfam family "Bacterial small subunit ribosomal RNA", at positions 338 to 628 of the family's 1533-position model. The record is from RNAcentral.